GGUCGGUCUAAAGGUAGUGAGUUAUCUCAACUGAUUGCUCACAGUCAAUUACAGAUCAAACUCAUUGUUCAACACUUUCCCCCCUUCUCACUACAGCACUUGUCUAGUCUAAA
Molecule: unclassified non-coding RNA, 113 nt
Organism: Otolemur garnettii (small-eared galago)
Lineage: Eukaryota; Metazoa; Chordata; Mammalia; Primates; Galagidae
Rfam family: Y RNA
About the family: Y RNAs are components of the Ro ribonucleoprotein particle (Ro RNP), in association with Ro60 and La proteins. The Y RNAs and Ro60 and La proteins are well conserved, but the function of the Ro RNP is not known.
Source: Ensembl